Molecule: ribosomal RNA, 497 nt
Filed under: uncultured bacterium
Lineage: Bacteria
Description: partial 16S ribosomal RNA
Rfam family: Bacterial small subunit ribosomal RNA
Source: RNAcentral
GAUGUACGCUGGCGGCGUGCCUAAUACAUGCAAGUCGAGCGAACAGACGAGGAGCUUGCUCCUCUGACGUUAGCGGCGGACGGGUGAGUAACACGUGGAUAACCUACCUAUAAGACUGGGAUAACUUCGGGAAACCGGAGCUAAUACCGGAUAAUAUAUUGAACCGCAUGGUUCAAUAGUGAAAGACGGCUUUGCUGUCACUUAUAGAUGGAUCCGCGCCGCAUUAGCUAGUUGGUAAGGUAACGGCUUACCAAGGCAACGAUGCGUAGCCGACCUGAGAGGGUGAUCGGCCACACUGGAACUGAGACACGGUCCAGACUCCUACGGGAGGCAGCAGUAGGGAAUCUUCCGCAAUGGGCGAAAGCCUGACGGAGCAACGCCGCGUGAGUGAUGAAGGUCUUCGGAUCGUAAAACUCUGUUAUUAGGGAAGAACAAAUGUGUAAGUAACUAUGCACGUCUUGACGGUACCUAAUCAGAAAGCCACGGCUAACUACGUG